Molecule: long non-coding RNA, 1408 nt
Organism: Oncorhynchus nerka (sockeye salmon)
Lineage: Eukaryota; Metazoa; Chordata; Actinopteri; Salmoniformes; Salmonidae
Exons: 3
Source: RefSeq, a predicted model, not a curated record
AUGCUUUUACUCCUCAGUUUGCUCAAAGCGUGAUGAGGGGUUAUGUAUGCACAUGUUCACAAGAAAGGACAAGCAAAAGUUAUAUCGUCACUGAUUUAGUGUUGCAUUACAGUUUCUAGGAAUAUAUAUUAAUGUGAAUGGGGAUAAUGUUCGAGUGCAACAACUAGCCCAACUACCGUUAGUUUUGUUGGGGGAGAGUGCCUCUUUCAGGUGCAGACAUCUCAUUAAAAGAGAGACAACCGGCAGAAUUGUGUCCAGAACCUUGUCUUCCACCUACACCUUUCCAGAACACAAUGCAGAAAGGACCUGAGCCCUAGGACCAUGCCCCAGGACUACCUGACAUGAUGACUCCUUGCUGUCCCCAGUCCACCUGGCCAUGCUGCUGCUCCAGUUUCAACUGGCCUGGGCCCUAGGACCAUGUCCCAGGACUACCUGACAUGAUGACUCCUUGCUGUCCCCAGUCCACCUGGCCAUGCUGCUGCUCCAGUUUCAACUGUUCUGCCUUACUAUUAUUCAACCAUGCUGGUCAUUUAUGAACAUUUGAACAUCUUGGCCACGUUCUGUUAUAAUCUCCACCCGGCACAGCCAGAAGAGGACUGGCCACCCCACAUAUGCUCUCUCUAAUUCUCUCUUUCUUUCUCUCUCUCGGAGGACCUGAGCCCUAGGACCGUGCCCCAGGACUACCUGACAUGAUGACUCCUUGCUGUCCCCAGUCCACCUGACUGUGCUGCUGCUCCAGUUUCAACUGUUCUGCCUUAUUAUUAUUCGACCAUGCUGGUCAUUUAUGAACAUUUGAACAUCUUGGUCAUGUUCUGUUAUAAUCUCUACCCGGCACAGCCAGAAGAGGACUGGCCACCCCACAUAGCCUGGUUCCUCUCUAGGUUUCUUCCUAGGUUUUGGCCUUUCUAGGGAGUUUUUCCUAGCCACCGUGCUUUUACACCUGCAUUGUUUGCUGUUUGGGGUUUUAGGCUGGGUUUCUGUACAGCACUUUGAGAUAUCAGCUGAUGUACGAAGGGCUAUAUAAAUAAAUUUGAUUUGAUUUGAUUUGUUCCCUCAUGUACUUUCUGUGUUGAUUUGUUGUUAAUAAAAAAAAAAAGUUCAAAGAAGAAAAGGCCUGGAAGGAGGAGAGAUGACUGGAAACGAUUUGUUUGACUGUUUUAUGUGUAGACGAAUUGUCGGAGUGUAGGACCUUGUGCAUUUCAGGUCAAAUAACAACUCAAUGUUUUAUAUCCCAGGACAAAUUAGCUAGCAUGUGCAAGCUAUCUAGCUAAAUUGCCAUAAGUGUUUAAUGUUUUUCGACCAGUCCCCAAGUUAAUGUAAUUGGUUCAGAGUUUGUUUUGAUAUUUUAACCUGCGUGUUGUGAUUGUGUUUGGUGUGGGGGGACAAAAUAAAUGUACGCACGAACGCA